Molecule: long non-coding RNA, 445 nt
Organism: Exaiptasia diaphana
Lineage: Eukaryota; Metazoa; Cnidaria; Anthozoa; Actiniaria; Aiptasiidae
Exons: 2
Source: RefSeq, a predicted model, not a curated record
UGUAAACGCAAACAACUACAAGAUAAAAUUAAAGGGUCCUCAGUCUUUGAAACUAGUCGUGCCACAUCGCCGCUUCACUAGUGAUUAACAGAGUUAUAGACUUCACUAUUUUGUAAAGAAUGAAGACCGCCAUCUUUAUCGUGGUAUUUUCUGUACUUCUGGCUUCUGUCUUGGCUGAGGUAUCUGCUGAUGACCAAGCCACCGCUGCUGAAAAACGAGGAUACUGUGGCUGUUCUUGYAGCAACAUCAACGGGAUUUGUAACUGUGUACAGACCGGCGGGAAUGGUAAACGAAGUAUUCUGAGGUUCAGACCAUCAAAGCGUGGUUGGUGUGGCUGUAGUUGUUCUAGUAUCAAUGGUGCUUGCAGCUGUACUGGAGUUUGAUUUCAAUGUCAUGGAAAUAUUKAAUGAAGCUGUCAAAUAAUAAAGUCUAGUGAAAAAGUAUC